GAUGAACGCUAGCGACAGGCUUAAUACAUGCAAGUCGAGGGGCAGCACGGUUAGCAAUAACUGGUGGCGACCGGCGCACGGGUGCGUAACACGUAUACAAUCUACCUUAAACAGGGGAUAGCCUUUCGAAAGAGGGAUUAAUACCCCGUAAUAAAUUGAACGGCAUCGUUUGAUUUUGAAAGCUCCGGCGGUUUGAGAUGAGUAUGCGUCUGAUUAGCUAGUUGGUGAGGUAACGGCUCACCAAGGCGACGAUCAGUAGGGGAUCUGAGAGGACUAACCCCCACACUGGUACUGAGACACGGACCGGACUCCUACGGGAGGCAGCAGUAAGGAAUAUUGGUCAAUGGAGGCAACUCUGAACCAGCCAUGCCGCGUGCAGGAUGACGGCCCUAUGGGUUGUAAACUGCUUUUAUACAAGAGAAAACCCUGGUACGUGUACCAGGUUGAUAGUAUUGUAAGAAUAAGCAUCGGCUAACUUCGUGCCAGCAGCCGCGGUAA
Molecule: ribosomal RNA, 498 nt
Filed under: uncultured bacterium
Lineage: Bacteria
Description: bacterial SSU rRNA
Rfam family: Bacterial small subunit ribosomal RNA
Source: RNAcentral